UAGUGUUACAGCUCUUUUAGAAUUUGUCUAGCAUGUUUUCCAGUCCUCAUGGGAAGACCCUC
RNAcentral lists this small nuclear RNA (62 nucleotides) under Prolemur simus (greater bamboo lemur). Its description in RNAcentral is "U7 small nuclear RNA (ENSPSMG00000011096.1)". It matches the Rfam family "U7 small nuclear RNA". Rfam says of the family: Animal histone pre-mRNAs are spliced by a different mechanism than nuclear pre-mRNAs and self-splicing introns. Lineage: Eukaryota; Metazoa; Chordata; Mammalia; Primates; Lemuridae. The record is from Rfam by way of RNAcentral.